CAGAGAGGCAGGCAGGGAGAGAGGAGGGAGCAGGCUCCCUACUGAGCAGUGAGCCUAAUGCAGGGCUCCAUCCCAGGACUCUGGGAUGAUGACCUGAGCCGAAGGCAGAGGUUUUAACCCACUGAGCCACCCAGGCUCCCCUAUUGUUGUUGUUCUAUAGAAUAUUGUAGACUUUUAUAUUUAGCUUAUCUAUAUCUGAUUCUAAUAUUCAGCUUUUUAAAUUCAUCUCUAGAGGAUGUAUCCAAAACCCUCUUCCUCAGAUGUUCUUGGGUCCAGAUUUAUCAUCUUCCUGGUUCCCCCACUAAUUAAGGAGGAAAAUAUUUUUUUCAUUAUUACGAAGAAAAUUGUUGUAACUUGUGUCUUCUGACAUCUGUUCAAGUAUUUAACGUAAACUCUUCAG
RNAcentral lists this long non-coding RNA (400 nucleotides) under Mustela putorius furo (domestic ferret). Its description in RNAcentral is "lncRNA (ENSMPUG00000024421.1)". The record is from RNAcentral. Lineage: Eukaryota; Metazoa; Chordata; Mammalia; Carnivora; Mustelidae.